This 22-nucleotide microRNA is filed under the name Strongyloides ratti. RNAcentral describes it as "str-miR-40-3p". Its record names the gene str-miR-40-3p. Lineage: Eukaryota; Metazoa; Nematoda; Chromadorea; Rhabditida; Strongyloididae. The record is from miRBase by way of RNAcentral.
UCACCGGGUGUACGAAUUCUCA